This 330-nucleotide long non-coding RNA is filed under the name Numida meleagris (helmeted guineafowl). RNAcentral's name for it is "lncRNA (ENSNMEG00000018484.1)". The record is from RNAcentral. Lineage: Eukaryota; Metazoa; Chordata; Aves; Galliformes; Numididae.
CAACAUCAAAAGGAAUCGAGGCUCACCUGGUCACAGUCUGGCCAUCACAUUUUUUAUAGGAACAAAGAAAGAUGCGGUAUGCCCUUCACAUAUGCUCGCAUUAAAAAUGUAUUAGUGAUGCCUCCAGGACCACAUUUCCAGCAGCCCGUAGCAGCACGGUUUGGCGAGCAGAGUGUGCUGUUCACCCACAGGAUUGUACGAGCCAGCCUGCCCAGCACCCUGCCAAAGUUAUGGGACUGCUGCCCGGGGCUCCACAUUCCUCUGCCGCCGGCCCUUGCUCUGCAGUAUCAGCAUCAGCUCUGCGAUGGGAGCCAGGAGGACUGUUUGUAA